CCCCGCCGCUCGCGCUGACAGCGGGGCGCGGCCCGCGGCCUCUGCCGGCCCGGGCGCCGCGGGUCCCUUCCCGGGGGAGGCUGUUGCGGCACCUGUCCCGCCGGGACGCGGCCGGCUCCGGGGCAGGGAAGGGCGGCUCGGGAGGACAGGGGGCUCCUCGGCCGCAGCCGCGUGGCCGUGCUGGCUCCUCCGUGUCCAGAGGGUUUUGGGAAGCGGGAUGCGCGCCCCGGCUUCUGCACUGGGCGGUGUGUGCCGAGGAAUCAAGGAUGCUUACACUGGAUUUCUCAUUCAUCCUCCAACGUGCUUAACACACCUCUCCACAAAACCUUAUGUCUGAGGUACUGUUUGUUUCUUUUGGCCAACAGUAGUGACUAAGGCCUUGUCAGAAUCUAUGGAAGGUGGGAAGGACAUGGUUAUUAACUUUUUAUGAACUGACUGUGAGUCCCAGGACCUGUGCAAGUUGCUUGUGUCACCCAGGAGGUGAGGUAGUGGGUGUGGGCACAGAACCCUGCAGCCCUGGCUCCUGUUCUUACACCUUUCCUGUGUUCACCAUCAGAGGGUCACUUGUGUUCAAAUACACGGUCAAGGGUCCCUGUCUUGAUGAAUCCAUGCCUCUGCAUGUGGUUGCAGGAGGAAAAUCCAAGUUUAAUACUCUGCAGCUUUUGAUUAUGGCAGGAUAUAUGUCACAUUCAUACACAUGAAUUUGGAUUCGAAUAUCUACUGAGGUCUUGGGUUUUGGUUCCCGUGAGCUGUGCAGCUGUACCUUGUCAGAGUGUUGUUUCAUGAGCUGUGCAUCUGUUUCAUGAGCUCAUGUCCUUUGGAAAUACUAAUUAUCCAUUCAAUAUCUUGGAUUCAUAGAAUUUAAGGUCUUUGAUGUUUGGUCACUAAUAUCACUACUCUCCUAUAAAAUUUGGAGGAUGAGUGCCUGUAGUAAGAGGUUUUUGUGGUUGAGUUGCCCAAAUACCUCAUGCAGAAGACUUUAUUUUCACUGUAGUUUCCUAAGAAAUAUUGCUUAUGUGUGUUUCAUCCGUUAAAAAAAAAAAUCUUUAAAUCAAUAAACCAAUUUCAGCCUAAUUUGACAGAGGUCGAGGUUUUAAAAAUAUUAUAAAGGUUUUGAGGGAUUUCUUCUGUUUCCUAGAAAUAACUUUUUGCUUUAAAAGGCAUGAAGGGCAUUCUACCAUUGACACUGAAGGAACAAUCA
This 1201-nucleotide long non-coding RNA is filed under the name Corvus moneduloides (New Caledonian crow). Its description in RNAcentral is "lncRNA (ENSCMUG00000020145.1)". The record is from RNAcentral. Lineage: Eukaryota; Metazoa; Chordata; Aves; Passeriformes; Corvidae.